GUACCUUAUUCUGUGACAGGGUGUCCCAAAACUAUUGACAUAGCGUAUAUUGUUAGAAUUUGAAUGUCUCGGCACUUUGCUGAACCUACAAGUGCAUAAAAGCUUGACAUAAGUAAAUGUUAUGCAUAAAGAAACUGGUUAAGAAGCUGCUUUAAAUUCCCAGCCGUAGGUUCAACAAAGUGCUAUAUACAUUCUUAUUUCAAGAAGAGCUUGAUUUCUAAAGGUCUUGUGUUUUUUAUACACCCUGUAGUUGUAAUACUACAUCAUUGCGUAAAUAUUAGUUUAUUUAUUUUUUUGUUUUUAAAAGAGAGGGGUCCAGAUUUGACACCGCUACAACUACCUCUCACUGACUCAGUAAGUACAGUAUCUGAUUGGUUAAUCGGAUAUAUCAAACGCAUCUGAUUGGUUAAUCGGAUAUAUCAAACGCAUCUGAUUGGUUAAUCUCCCUUAAUGGUAGCGGUAGUGGAAGUCAAAUCUGAAACUCUCUAACAAUAUGAAUAUUACAAAACAAUGAGUGACUGGACGACAUGGAAAACAAUGAAAAGACAAUAGAACAUUCCGAUCACUGGAUCGUACAGCUAGUUUUCGGUCUACAGGGUGUACCGAAAAAAAGUAUACCUUUUAAAAUUGUCCUAUUGUAAUAAUUUGAAUGCCUGAGCAUUAUGCUGAAUCUACAGAAGCGUAAAACACAGUUUGUAUUGAAAAACGAGACCUAAAUAACACUACGAGAGGUUCAUAGUCACGGAACGUCUAUACUGCACUUUAAUUCCGAAAGCUAUUUGAAUCAUUUUCCAGAAUCUCCUAUUUACUAUAUUACAACUUGCCUACUUUAUAAUGAAACUUUUAAAAACAAAGAAUGAUAUACGAU
Non-coding RNA from Paramuricea clavata, 868 nucleotides. NCBI's taxonomy places the organism in Eukaryota, Metazoa, Cnidaria, Anthozoa, Malacalcyonacea, Plexauridae. The record is from the annotation of a GenBank genome assembly.